This 338-nucleotide ribosomal RNA is filed under the name uncultured bacterium. Its description in RNAcentral is "bacterial SSU rRNA". It matches the Rfam family "Bacterial small subunit ribosomal RNA", at positions 83 to 414 of the family's 1533-position model. The record is from RNAcentral.
UUGGAAAGAGGAGUGGCGGACGGGUGAGUAACACGUGGGUAACCUACCCAUCAGAGGGGGAUAACACUUGGAAACAGGUGCUAAUACCGCAUAACAGUUUAUGCCGCAUGGCAUAAGAGUGAAAGGCGCUUUCGGGUGUCGCUGAUGGAUGGACCCGCGGUGCAUUAGCUAGUUGGUGAGGUAACGGCUCACCAAGGCCACGAUGCAUAGCCGACCUGAGAGGGUGAUCGGCCACACUGGGACUGAGACACGGCCCAGACUCCUACGGGAGGCAGCAGUAGGGAAUCUUCGGCAAUGGACGAAAGUCUGACCGAGCAACGCCGCGUGAGUGAAGAAGG